Pelobates cultripes (western spadefoot toad) is the source of this 231-nucleotide non-coding RNA. NCBI's taxonomy places the organism in Eukaryota, Metazoa, Chordata, Amphibia, Anura, Pelobatidae. The record is from the annotation of a GenBank genome assembly.
CACGACAUUGCUUGGUAACUGAGGAGAUGUCCAAGGUUACAUGUCUAAAAAGAGUAGACUGCACACUUUUUUAAAAUGAUAAAGACAGGCAUAGUACACUGUGAUGGCUUGUUAAGAGUGUGAUAGUGUGCAGGCGAGUGAUACUGCCUCGGAAAGUGCUGAACUGUAACAGGUUAGGUAUAUAUGCAAGAGCCACAGCAACUAAGUUUAGUGCCAUAAUUUACAAUCUCA